RNAcentral lists this ribosomal RNA (511 nucleotides) under uncultured bacterium. RNAcentral's name for it is "bacterial SSU rRNA". It matches the Rfam family "Bacterial small subunit ribosomal RNA", at positions 17 to 518 of the family's 1533-position model. The record is from RNAcentral.
UCCUGGCUAGAACGAACGCUGGCGGCGCGUCUUAAGCAUGCAAGUCGAACGGCAAGAGGUAGCAAUACCUCCUAGAGUGGCGGACUGGUGAGUAACACGUGGGUGACAUACCCUUCAGAUGGGGAUAGCUAUUAGAAAUAGUAGAUAAUACCGAAUACGAGCACAGGGGUUAGAGAUCUGUGAGGAAAGGAGCUAAGGCUCCGCUGAAGGAAUGGCCUGCGGCCCAUUAGCUAGUUGGUGAGGUAAGAGCCCACCAAGGCGAUGAUGGGUAUCCGGCCUUAGAGGGUGAACGGACACAUUGGGACUGAGAUACGGCCCAGACUCCUACGGGAGGCAGCAGCUAAGAAUAUUCCGCAAUGGACGAAAGUCUGACGGAGCGACGCCGCGUGGAUGAAGAAGGCCGGAAGGUUGUAAAAUCCUUUUGAAACUGAAGAAUAAGCGUUGUAGGGAAUGACAGCGUGGUGACAGUAGGUUUUGAAUAAGCAACGGCUAAUUACGUGCCAGCCGCCGC